UGGACCUAACCAAUAUAGUUCAGUUGCAAUCUCAGCUGAAGUAGGAGAGGGACCUGACUACACUCGAAUACAAUUUGGGUGGACUGUGUUCCCAUUGCAGUUCCAGGACAGUUUCACUCAUUGGUUUUUUCAAGUAACCAACAUAACAAAUGUUCCA
Quercus lobata is the source of this 157-nucleotide long non-coding RNA. RefSeq lists it as uncharacterized. The transcript has 3 exons. The record is from RefSeq and is a predicted model, not a curated record. NCBI's taxonomy places the organism in Eukaryota, Viridiplantae, Streptophyta, Magnoliopsida, Fagales, Fagaceae.